AUUGAACGCUGGCGGCAGGCCUAACACAUGCAAGUCGAGCGGAUGAAGGGAGCUUGCUCCUGGAUUCAGCGGCGGACGGGUGAGUAAUGCCUAGGAAUCUGCCUGGUAGUGGGGGAUAACGUCCGGAAACGGGCGCUAAUACCGCAUACGUCCUGAGGGUGAAAGUGGGGGAUCUUCGGACCUCACGCUAUCAGAUGAGCCUAGGUCGGAUUAGCUAGUUGGUGGGGUAAAGGCCUACCAAGGCGACGAUCCGUAACUGGUCUGAGAGGAUGAUCAGUCACACUGGAACUGAGACACGGUCCAGACUCCUACGGGAGGCAGCAGUGGGGAAUAUUGGACAAUGGGCGAAAGCCUGAUCCAGCCAUGCCGCGUGUGUGAAGAAGGUCUUCGGAUUGUAAAGCACUUUAAGUUGGGAGGAAGGGCAGCAAGUUAAUACCUUGCUGUUUUGACGUUACCAACAGAAUAAGCACCGGCUAACUUCGUG
RNAcentral lists this ribosomal RNA (484 nucleotides) under uncultured bacterium. RNAcentral describes it as "partial 16S ribosomal RNA". It matches the Rfam family "Bacterial small subunit ribosomal RNA", at positions 30 to 507 of the family's 1533-position model. The record is from RNAcentral.